This 441-nucleotide ribosomal RNA is filed under the name Ixodes ricinus (castor bean tick). Its description in RNAcentral is "partial 16S ribosomal RNA". Lineage: Eukaryota; Metazoa; Arthropoda; Arachnida; Ixodida; Ixodidae. The record is from RNAcentral.
UUGGGAAAUAAUAAAAUGUAUAAUCUGCUCAAUGAUUUUUUUUUAAAUUGCUGUGGUAUUUUGACUAUACGAAGGUAUUGAAAUAAGAUUUUAAAUGAGUGCUAAGAGAAUGAUUAAACAAUUAAAAGCUUUCUUUAAUUGAAUAAUUGAAUUUAAUUUUUUAGUGCAAAAGCAAAAAUAAAAAUUAGGGACAAGAAGACCCUAUGAAUUUUUUAUUAAAUUUUAUAAAACUUUAUAUAAAAUUUAAUUUAAUUGGGGUGAUGGAAAAAGAAUAAAUAUCUUUUUUUAAAAAAAAUUGGUUCCGUUUUUAGCGAUUAAAUGAAAAAAAUACUCUAGGGAUAACAGCGUAAUAAUUUUGGAUAGUUCAUAUAGAUAAAAUAGUUUGCGACCUCGAUGUUGGAUUAGGAUUCUUUUUUGGUGAAGAAGUUAAAAAAAGAAGUU